RNAcentral lists this transfer RNA (71 nucleotides) under Marmota monax (woodchuck). RNAcentral's name for it is "tRNA.Ala". Lineage: Eukaryota; Metazoa; Chordata; Mammalia; Rodentia; Sciuridae. The record is from RNAcentral.
GGGGAUGUAGCUGGGUGGUAAAUUGCUUACCUAGCAUGCAUGAAGCCCUGGGUUCAGUCCCCAGCACUACA